Molecule: long non-coding RNA, 290 nt
Filed under: Carica papaya (papaya)
Lineage: Eukaryota; Viridiplantae; Streptophyta; Magnoliopsida; Brassicales; Caricaceae
Description: long non-coding RNA (CPAP_LNC009971)
Source: RNAcentral
UACAACCCGCACCCUUCUCAUGUCUUGGCUCAUGAACCGCUUCUACUCCAAGAGGACUUGUCUUAUGAAGAAGUAUCGGUCGGUAUCACGGACCGAGAGAGAAGAAUACUCCGCAAUCGGAAAAUAUCAUUUGUAAAGGUCGUGUGGCAGAACCACACGCCCAGGGAGGCUACUUGAGAAAUGGAAUCAUAAUUUAGAGCCCAAUAUCCCCAUUUAUUCGACCAAGAGUAAGAGGCAAAUUUGGGGGACUAAAUUUCUUUAAGGGGGGGAGAGUUGUAACACCCACUAAU